RNAcentral lists this ribosomal RNA (497 nucleotides) under uncultured bacterium. RNAcentral's name for it is "partial 16S ribosomal RNA". It matches the Rfam family "Bacterial small subunit ribosomal RNA", at positions 28 to 507 of the family's 1533-position model. The record is from RNAcentral.
GAUGAACGCUGGCGGCGUGCCUAAUACAUGCAAGUCGAGCGAACAGACGAGGAGCUUGCUCCUCUGACGUUAGCGGCGGACGGGUGAGUAACACGUGGAUAACCUACCUAUAAGACUGGGAUAACUUCGGGAAACCGGAGCUAAUACCGGAUAAUAUAUUGAACCGCAUGGUUCAAUAGUGAAAGACGGUUUUGCUGUCACUUAUAGAUGGAUCCGCGCCGCAUUAGCUAGUUGGUAAGGUAACGGCUUACCAAGGCAACGAUCCGUAGCCGACCUUAGAGGGUGAUCGGCCACACUGGAACUGAGACACGGUCCAGACUCCUACGGGAGGCAGCAGUAGGGAAUCUUCCGCAAUGGGCGAAAGCCUGACGGAGCAACGCCGCGUGAGUGAUGAAGGUCUUCGGAUCGUAAAACUCUGUUAUUAGGGAAGAACAAAUGUGUAAGUAACUAUGCACGUCUUGACGGUACCUAAUCAGAAAGCCACGGCUAACUACGUG